UACGGGGGGAGCAAGCGUUGUUCGGAUUUACUGGGCGUAAAGGGCGCGUAGGCGGUCGUGACAAGUCACUUGCGAAAUCUCCGGGCUUAACUCGGAACGGUCAAGUGAUACUGUCGGACUAGAGUACAGAAGGGGCAACUGGAAUUCUCGGUGUAGCGGUGAAAUGCGUAGAUAUCGAGAGGAACACCUGCGGCGAAGGCGGGUUGCUGGGCUGAUACUGACGCUGAGGCGCGAAAGCCAGGGGAGCGAACGGG
RNAcentral lists this ribosomal RNA (254 nucleotides) under uncultured bacterium. RNAcentral describes it as "partial 16S ribosomal RNA". It matches the Rfam family "Bacterial small subunit ribosomal RNA", at positions 524 to 776 of the family's 1533-position model. The record is from RNAcentral.